CCACUUCGGUGGCGCAGAGACAGGUGCUGCAUGGCUGUCGUCAGCUCGUGUCGUGAGAUGUUGGGUUAAGUCCCGCAACGAGCGCAACCCUCGCCCUUAGUUGCCAGCAUUUAGUUGGGCACUCUAAGGGGACUGCCGGUGAUAAGCCGAGAGGAAGGUGGGGAUGACGUCAAGUCCUCAUGGCCCUUACGGGCUGGGCUACACACGUGCUACAAUGGUGGUGACAGUGGGCAGCGAGCACGCGAGUGUGAGCUAAUCUCCAAAAGCCAUCUCAGUUCGGAUUGCACUCUGCAACUCGAGUGCAUGAAGUUGGAAUCGCUAGUAAUCGCGGAUCAGCAUGCCGCGGU
RNAcentral lists this ribosomal RNA (347 nucleotides) under Rhizobium sp. 126S. RNAcentral's name for it is "bacterial SSU rRNA". It matches the Rfam family "Bacterial small subunit ribosomal RNA", at positions 1014 to 1363 of the family's 1533-position model. The record is from RNAcentral. Lineage: Bacteria; Pseudomonadati; Pseudomonadota; Alphaproteobacteria; Hyphomicrobiales; Rhizobiaceae.